GCGGGGCUGCCCGGUGCGUCAGGUAAACCACCCCCGGGGCCGAUAAGCAUCUCCCAGGGAGCUGGCUCUGCCCUGGCCCUGGUCAGGGUAUCCGGCGCCCACCUGCUCACGCAGGCCUUGGGAGGGUAGUAACGCCAACGGCCAUGGCGGCUCCGCA
Molecule: non-coding RNA, 157 nt
Filed under: Acetobacteraceae bacterium
Lineage: Bacteria; Pseudomonadati; Pseudomonadota; Alphaproteobacteria; Acetobacterales; Acetobacteraceae
Description: 6S RNA
Rfam family: 6S / SsrS RNA
About the family: E. coli 6S RNA was the first non coding RNA to be sequenced, but its function was unknown until recently. It consists of 184 nucleotides that fold into an extended hairpin structure with a large single-stranded internal bulge. The 6S RNA specifically associates with RNA polymerase holoenzyme containing the sigma70 specificity factor.
Source: RNAcentral